AUCUUUCUGGGAAUAAACUAGGAGAUUCAGGAGUGAAGUUACUCUCUGAUCUGAAAGAUGAUCCACAUUAUAAACUGGAGACAUUAAACUAUUGACUCUCAGUAUUUAGACGUCAGUCCAGUUUCCUCAGGAUCAGCUGAUGGUGAAUAAGAGCCGCUACAGAGACGUCACAGUCACACAAUCAACAGAGACUAGAGACACAGAGACACACAGCAUCACAGAAAGUUAAAACACAGGGCUUAUGCAGAGUUAGCAAUGGCAGGUGUGAAAAUUCUCUACAAUAUUUUAUUUUAAACUGGAACCAAUUGCAUUUUUUUUUUUGCUAAUUUGCAUUGUUACAUGUUAUGCCUUGGGGCACUAACACACACGUGUAAUGGAUCAAGCAGCGCCCGAAUCUCGAGCAGGACCUAAGUGAUGGUAGCUGCGUUGUAACUGAUGCUUGUGUGUCAGCUUGUGAUUUUAAACAUGUCCAAAAGAAGAAAUUUGAUUUGGAAGGGUGUAUGAUGAGCUAGGAGUGCGCGAUAUUUAUCAUCUACUAAUAUCGUAAUUGUUUUAAUGAUGUUCGAGGUGACACUAUGUAAUUCUGCAAAAAA
This is a long non-coding RNA of Sinocyclocheilus anshuiensis, 593 nucleotides long. RefSeq lists it as uncharacterized. The record is from RefSeq and is a predicted model, not a curated record. Lineage: Eukaryota; Metazoa; Chordata; Actinopteri; Cypriniformes; Cyprinidae. The transcript is spliced from 2 exons.